RNAcentral lists this transfer RNA (77 nucleotides) under Candidatus Harrisonbacteria bacterium RIFCSPHIGHO2_02_FULL_40_20. Its description in RNAcentral is "tRNA-Met". It matches the Rfam family "tRNA". From Rfam's summary of the family: Transfer RNA (tRNA) molecules are approximately 80 nucleotides in length. Their secondary structure includes four short double-helical elements and three loops (D, anti-codon, and T loops). Lineage: Bacteria; Candidatus Harrisoniibacteriota. RNAcentral also lists the same sequence under 1 other name. The record is from RNAcentral.
CGCGGGGUAGAGCAGCUCGGUAGCUCGCAAGGCUCAUAACCUUGAGGUCGUUGGUUCAAAUCCAACCCCCGCAACAA